RNAcentral lists this small RNA (126 nucleotides) under Marmota monax (woodchuck). The record is from RNAcentral. Lineage: Eukaryota; Metazoa; Chordata; Mammalia; Rodentia; Sciuridae.
GCUAGGUAUGGUGGCGCACACCUGUAAUCCCAGCAACUUGGGAGGCUGAGGCAGAAGAACACAAGUUUGAGACCAGCUUCAGCAAUUUAGAAAGGCCUUAAGCAAUUUGGCGAGACCCUGUCUCAA